Molecule: ribosomal RNA, 435 nt
Filed under: uncultured bacterium
Lineage: Bacteria
Description: bacterial SSU rRNA
Rfam family: Bacterial small subunit ribosomal RNA
Source: RNAcentral
GCUUAACGCGAAGAACCUUACCUGGCCUUGACAUGCACUGGACUGACGCUGAAAGGCGUCUUCUCUUCGGAGCCGGUGCACAGGUGCUGCAUGGCUGUCGUCAGCUCGUGUCGUGAGAUGUUGCGUUAAGUCGCGCAACGAGCGCAACCCCUGUCCUUAGUUGCCAUCAUUAAGUUGGGCACUCUAGGGAGACAAACCCCUCUGAGGGUGGGAAGGUGGGGAUGACGUCAAGUCAGGAUGGCCCUUACGGCCAGGGCUGCACACGUGCUACAAUGCCUGAUACAGAGGGAAGCAAGACCGCGAGGUGGAGCAAAUCCUAAAAAUCAGGCCCAGUUCAGAUUGCGGUCUGCAACUCGACUGCAUGAAGUUGGAAUCGCUAGUAAUGGCGUAUCAGCUACGACGCCGUGAAUACGUUCCCGGGUCUUGUACACACCG